Molecule: long non-coding RNA, 2145 nt
Filed under: Mus musculus (house mouse)
Lineage: Eukaryota; Metazoa; Chordata; Mammalia; Rodentia; Muridae
Description: long non-coding RNA chrX:52767408-52769553
Source: RNAcentral
GAGUUCUCAAACUGUCCAUGUGCACGCGCGCACACACACUCCUUUUCAGUUAGCAUUAACAAAGUACUUCUUUAAAGAAAUCCAAAUACUCAGUACAACAUUUUCCAGCACCCAUUCGCACUCACAAUGAAAUAAUGAACUUUCCCAUCUUCAGGAGGUUGUGGUGGGACACAGGCAAAUGUUCCCAGUGAUGGCAUUGUGGCAUUAAUCCCUCCAAUCUCGGCAGAGUCCAGGUCCAGGCUGCUAAUCCCUACCCUGCCUUCUGAGCUUCCUGACUUUCCAAACCAUUUCUUAAAUGAUGUCCUAUAAAUAUUUGCACUGAAGAACAACCAAGCAGUGGGAUGGAUACCCAACAACUGCAAACAGCUUCAACCUUCGAGAAUGAAGGGCCACUUAAUAAGUCAAGGGAAGGUAGAACAUGUGACUAUUACAAAGAAUACACAGCUAUUUUUUUUCAAGCUCCAUGUUUGGUUUCAAACCAAAAAAAAAAUAAAAGGUCUCUCUUUCAACUUGAAUAUUGCACAGAACUUGGGGAUAAUUUCAUAAGAAUCUACUAAUGGUGGUAACUUUUUUUUGUUUUGUUUUUGUUUUUGUUUUUCGAGACAGGGUUUCUCUGUGUAGCCCUGGCUGUCCUGGAACUCAUGCUGUAGACUACGCUGGCCUCGAACUCAGAAAUCUGCCUACCUCUGCCUCCCAAGUGCUGGGUUUAAAGGCGUGCGCCACCACUGCCUGACAUGGUGGUAACUUUUAAGGCUAAGAUAGAUUUGUACUACAGGUAACAGAUUUUUUUUCUUCUUUUCAUUUGCACUGGAUACAACUGUUGGACUUUUUUUAUUAAUGCAUAUGAGGACUAGCAAGAUGGCUAUUGGGUAAAAGAGUUUACCACCAAGCCUGUUUGCCAGAAUUCCAUCCCAGGAUCCUCAUUGUAGGAGAUAAUUGACUACUCACAGUUAGUUGCCCUCUGCUCCCCACAUGAGGUCUGUGCACAUUCACAUGUACAUACACACACAUACAAGUAAACAGUGGAACACAAAAUAGAUUAAAAACAAAAGUGCCUAUGAAUCUAAAAGAAAGGAAGAUAUUAAGAAAGGCUUUUAACAUUAGAACAAAUUUUAUAAUCUCUACAAAUCUGUGCCUCUCUUCAGAUACAUUUAAAAAUGUCACCUCUUUUUAAACCAUUUGAAAUUUAAAACAAACAUCUCCACAAGUGGAUCAUUCUGUGUGACAAAAUGUUUUGCUUUCCAAACACAUGCUUUCCUCUUAGAGAACUCUAAUGCUAUCAUCUCCUAAGAGAUCCCUCCCUCCGGAAAUGAGGCUCUCUACAAUGCUCACUAUUUUCAUACUUCUUUUUAAAAUAGUUUUCAAAAGCAACCUUGUUGAUGCGUCAUUGAUGUAAAAUGAGCUGUAGAAGCUAGAGAUGUGGCCUAGUGAUGGAUCGCUUUGCAAGCACAGUCCUUGGGUUCAAUUCAGUUCCUAGGCUAGCUUCUUUUUCUCUUCUCUUCUCUUCUCUUCUCUUCUCUUCUCUUCUCUUCUCUUCUCUUCUCUUCUCUUCUCUUCUCUUCUCUUCUCUUCUUUCUUUUCUUUCUCCCUCCCUCCCUCUCUCCUUCUUUCUUUCUUUCUUUCUUUCUUUCUUUCUUUCUUUCUUCAUUCCUUUCUCUCUCUCCUUUUUUUUUUUUUGAGACAGGUUUCUCUGUGUAGCCCUGACUGUCCUGGAAAUCUCUUAGUAGACCAGGCUGGCCUCAAACCUAGAAAUCUGUCUGCCUCUGCUUCUUGAGUGCUGGCAUGCACCAACAAAGCCAGCUUUAAAAAUGUAUCAUUUCAAAUAAGCAUAUCGUAUUCAUUGCACCAGUAUUCAUAAUAGCCAAGCUAUGGAACCAAGCUGGGUAUCCAUGGAUUUGUAACUGGAAAAGAAAUAUGACAUACUAAAAAAAGAAUAUGAGAAUAUGACAUACUGAUAUAAUGGAGUAUUAUUCAACUUUUAAAAGGAGAUCCUAUCAUUUGUGAGAACAUAGGUGAAACUAGUUUUAAAUUAAGUGUACGUGUGCAUGUGCAUGUGUGUUUCUGGUGUUAUGUGCAUCUGUGUACAGUACCUAUACAGGCCAAAAGAGGAUGUAAGUUUUGGAACUGGAGUUACAGGUAGUUGUG